GACGAACGCUGGCGGCGUGCUUAACACAUGCAAGUCGAACGGUAAGGCCCUUCGGGGUACACGAGUGGCGAACGGGUGAGUAACACGUGGGUGAUCUGCCCUGCACUUCGGGAUAAGCCUGGGAAACUGGGUCUAAUACCGGAUAGGACCCUGGGAUGCAUGUCCUGGGGUGGAAAGCUUUUGCGGUGUGGGAUGGGCCCGCGGCCUAUCAGCUUGUUGGUGGGGUGAGGGCCGACCAAGGCGACGACGGGUAGCCGGCCGGGGAGGGUGAGCGGCCACACUGGGACUGAGAUACGGCCCAGACUCCUACGGGAGGCAGCAGUGGGGAAUAUUGCCCAAUGGGCGCAAGCCUGAUGCAGCGACGCCGCGUGAGGGAUGACGGCCUUCGGGUUGUAAACCUCUUUCAGCACCGACGAAGCGCAAGUGACGGUAGGUGCAGAAGAAGGACCGGCCAACUACGUGCCAGCCGCCGCAGUAA
Molecule: ribosomal RNA, 478 nt
Filed under: uncultured bacterium
Lineage: Bacteria
Description: partial 16S ribosomal RNA
Rfam family: Bacterial small subunit ribosomal RNA
Source: RNAcentral